AUUGAACGCUGGCGGCAGGCCUAACACAUGCAAGUCGAGCGGAUGAAGGGAGCUUGCUCCUGGAUUCAGCGGCGGACGGGUGAGUAAUGCCUAGGAAUCUGCCUGGUAGUGGGGGAUAACGUCCGGAAACGGGCGCUAAUACCGCAUACGUCCUGAGGGAGAAAGUGGGAGAUCUUCGGACCUCACGCUAUCAGAUGAGCCUAGGUCGGAUUAGCUAGUUGGUGGGGUAAAGGCCUACCAAGGCGACGAUCCGUAACUGGUCUGAGAGGAUGAUCAGUCACACUGGAACUGAGACACGGUCCAGACUCCUACGGGAGGCAGCAGUGGGGAAUGUUGGACAAUGGGCGAAAGCCUGAUCCAGCCAUGCCGCGUGUGUGAAGAAGGUCUUCGGAUUGUAAAGCACUUUAAGUUGGGAGGAAGGGCAGUAAGUUAAUACCUUGCUGUUUUGACGUUACCAACAGAAUAAGCACCGGCUAACUUCGUG
RNAcentral lists this ribosomal RNA (484 nucleotides) under uncultured bacterium. RNAcentral describes it as "partial 16S ribosomal RNA". It matches the Rfam family "Bacterial small subunit ribosomal RNA", at positions 30 to 507 of the family's 1533-position model. The record is from RNAcentral.